RNAcentral lists this unclassified non-coding RNA (334 nucleotides) under Candidaspongia flabellata. Its description in RNAcentral is "sequence contains 28S rRNA gene". Lineage: Eukaryota; Metazoa; Porifera; Demospongiae; Dictyoceratida; Thorectidae. The record is from RNAcentral.
GCGGGGUGAUCCAGAGUGUCCCCCGUUGUCUGCCGGAGGCAGAGCCGUACUCCUCGCGAGCACGGACCAGCGGCGGUUGGAGUGGAGCCAUAAGGCUGGCCUGGACGGUACGUCGGGUCGGGCUCGCCCGCUCGACGACUUAUAGACUGGCUUCCCGGUGCUCGACUCCGACCGAGGAAGGAGGGCAGCUUUUGCCCGGUGUGGUGCACGCCGUAUGGCGGGGCCUCCCGCCGAGGGCGAGCCGCGCUUUGUGGACUGCAAGCAGUGCUCACUGUGACGGCGGACCCACGGUCGGUGAGCGUCACUUGUGCACCAGUGCUGCUGGUAUUGGGAC